AACGAACGCUGGCGGCAGGCCUAACACAUGCAAGUCGAGCGAGGACUUCGGUCCUAGCGGCGGACGGGUGAGUAACGCGUGGGAACGUUCCCUUUGCUUCGGAAUAGCCCUGGGAAACUGGGAGUAAUACCGGAUGAGCCCUUUGGGGGAAAGAUUUAUCGGCGAAGGAUCGGCCCGCGUUGGAUUAGGUAGUUGGUGGGGUAAUGGCCUACCAAGCCGACGAUCCAUAGCUGGUUUGAGAGGAUGAUCAGCCACACUGGGACUGAGACACGGCCCAGACUCCUACGGGAGGCAGCAGUGGGGAAUCUUAGACAAUGGGGGAAACCCUGAUCUAGCCAUGCCGCGUGAGCGAUGAAGGCCUUAGGGUUGUAAAGCUCUUUCAGCUGGGGAGAUAAUGACGGUACCAGCAGAAGAAGCCCCGGCUAACUCCGUG
Molecule: ribosomal RNA, 433 nt
Filed under: uncultured bacterium
Lineage: Bacteria
Description: partial 16S ribosomal RNA
Rfam family: Bacterial small subunit ribosomal RNA
Source: RNAcentral